UAGGCCGGGCGGGGGGUCUU
Molecule: ribosomal RNA, 20 nt
Filed under: Fasciola gigantica
Lineage: Eukaryota; Metazoa; Platyhelminthes; Trematoda; Plagiorchiida; Fasciolidae
Description: partial 18S ribosomal RNA
Source: RNAcentral